Molecule: ribosomal RNA, 547 nt
Filed under: Ceratolasma tricantha
Lineage: Eukaryota; Metazoa; Arthropoda; Arachnida; Opiliones; Ceratolasmatidae
Description: SSU rRNA
Rfam family: Eukaryotic small subunit ribosomal RNA
Source: RNAcentral
GCCUGAGAAACGGCUACCACAUCCAAGGAAGGCAGCAGGCGCGCAAAUUACCCACUCCCGGCACGGGGAGGUAGUGACGAAAAAUAACGAUACGGGACUCUUUUGAGGCCCCGUAAUCGGAAUGAGUACACUCUAAAUCCUUUAACAAGGAUCCAUUGGAGGGCAAGUCUGGUGCCAGCAGCCGCGGUAAUUCCAGCUCCAAUAGCGUAUAUUAAAGUUGUUGCGGUUAAAAAGCUCGUAGUUGGAUCUCAGUUCCAGACAAGCGGACCGCCUUUCGGCGUGUUCUGCUUGGACUGAACAUCCUGUCGGAUGUCCCUCGGUGCUCUUUAUUGAGUGUCUUGGGUGCCCGCCACGUUUACUUUGAAAAAAUUAGAGUGCUUAAAGCAGGCGAUUUGCCCGAAUAAUGGUGCAUGGAAUAAUGGAAUAGGACCUCGGUUCUGUUGAGUUGGUUUUCGGAACACGAGGUAAUGAUUAAGAGGGACAGACGGGGGCAUUCGUAUUGCGGCGCUAGAGGUGAAAUUCUUGGACCGUCGCAAGACGAACUACU